This is a long non-coding RNA of Equus caballus (horse), 11360 nucleotides long. The record is from Ensembl. Lineage: Eukaryota; Metazoa; Chordata; Mammalia; Perissodactyla; Equidae.
CAACCCUCAGAUAAAAACAUGAAAUAAAAUCUGUGUUUGAAGGAAGUCCUUAUAAAUUAGGAGAGCUUUUCAUGUAUGUUUCUUCCUGAUCCAACAUCUCAGUGAGGUCACCAGGCAGGAAACUAUUUAUCGCCAUUUUAUAAAUGAGUCACUGAGGCUCUGGGAGAGAGGUAUCAAUGCAAAGCCAGUAAGAAGUGGAAACCUCUCUCCAACCCAGAUAUUCUCACUCCAAGUCCAGAAUAUUCUUCACAAGUGCACAGAGGUUCAUGGCCCACGUGCAGAGCAGAAAGUCGGAAACUCCUCCUUUAGAACCGGGUAAUUUGGUUCUUCAGCUCUGGGGCCUCAGUUUCCCCAUCUGCACUAUCACUGCAGCAUUAGCUAAAGUAAAAGACCCGCUUGGGUGUAAGGGAUGGAUGACAUUGCGUCACUAGAGCGGGCUCAGCUCUGUCACGGGGGAUGCUGACAGCAGGGCGCUCUUGAGCUGACGUGCCCACAGCCCUGGCACUCAGCUCCCAGAAGUCGCCCGUCGAUCCUGUCCCCACGGCCCCUCUCCACAGGGACAGUCCUCACCUGUCACAAGUGUCCUUGGAUGAUUCCCUGUCAUUUUCUGCAAGAGCACGUGGGUAGACUGCUCCACUCUCGACCACUUUGGGCUUGUGGAUGAGUGGCCUGAGUCUUCGUUCAUCCAUCGGACAGUUAUUGAACGCUUCCCCGUGCCGACCAUCUCGCAGGCUUCUGCGGAUGGAGAGAAGGCAAACGGGUGAGAUCCCUGCUCUUUGGGAGCCCUCUGUCCAGUGAAAGGUGCCCGUGAGCAGGACCCCAGGAGAGCGAAGGAAGCACAAAGCAUGCAGCAGCUGGGGAGGCUCAGCUUCACAGGGGUAACAUUGGACCUGGGCAUUGCAGCGUGAAUAGGAGCUGGCCAGAGGGAGAUGGAGGGAAAGCCUCGAGAGAACAGCACAGUUACAAGGGUGGGGUUCGAGGCGAUGGUGAGAAGUCCACCAGGCUGAGUGUGAAAGUGGGGUGCCCCAGGCUGUGAAGACUCUUGAGGCUGGGCUGAGGAGCCGGUUCCAUCCUGUCCUCCGGUCACUCCAGCAGGGUUGGCGGGUCAGAUGUGCCGAGCCCCUACCUCUAGCUGCACCCAGGAUGAGGGAGGGGAAGAGCUGACUCCCAGGAUCCUCCCAUGGGCCUGGUAUCCACGAGAAGCCCUCCCUAACCCCACCGUGCUCGGGAUGCGGGGUGGCGAUGCCUGGCCCAAACCACUCAACCACUCAACCACGGCGGCUGAUUCCGUUUCCCUAGCCCUUCAAGCCCACGGGCAGUUGAUGCUUGGUGCACAGACUAGGGGCUUUCACCUGUGGGGCGGGAAAAGCACCUCCACUGAUUUGGGGUUGAACUUUUUCCUGCUAUCUUGUCAACUUAUUGCUCCACAACUUAUGUAAAGUAUUUCUCUGCCUUAGUUCAGGCUUUCAGACCGUGGCAGACAGUGCUCCACAUUCCUGCUCAUCUGGUUAUGCCCCUGCUUAAAUGACUUCAAUAACAACGAUGGUAACAGUAAUAGUAAUGACAGCUACCAUGUGCAAGCUACCAGUGCUUCCUUUGUGCCGGCACCGCCUGAGGCCCAUUCACAGUGGCUCUUGACCAUUAUACUUCCUGCCUCUUGCCAAUUACCUCCCUCCAUGCUGGGAUCCCUUCCACAAAUGAUGUGACUUUGGAGUCCCUUUAAAAUCCAAAGCUUUGACACUAAGCCUAGAUUCAAAUCUGAGUGGGUUGGGAUAUUGGGUUCGGCUGUGUAAAUGUAACAGAUGCUCAAAGUAACAGUGAUUUAAACAAGAUGCCAGUCUUUCCCUCUGGUGUAGAAGUCCUUGCAGGCAUGCAGCUCUGCUCUGCAGAGCUGCCAGAGGCCCGGGCUCUUUCUGUGCUUUGCUCUCCCUGAGGUGUCCCCUGCUUCACGGGGUUCAUGACAGGCCAACACAUCCAGGGUUUAGGGACACAACCCAGAAGUCCCUCAGACCAGCUGCAUUCAGAUCCUACAGCCAGAUCUUAGCUUGAGGCUACAGGCAGGUGCAAGUGAGGCUGGGAAUGCAGACUACUCUGGGAGGCAGGCUCAAGUUCCAUUAGUGUGGAAGGAAGAACUGAUACUGGGGUUCAACCAGAAGGCCUUCAAACUACUGGUUUUUAGCUGUGUGCGUUCCUCCUGGUCCUUCAAAAGCGAUGCCAAGAUGGGAUUAGCUGUGCAUGAGAUUUCUCCGGGAAUGCGGGUUUUGGGGCAGUGGACACACCUGAGCGGAGCUGUGCCUUAGAAAGCUUCAGACAACACUGAACUUCACCGCAGACGCUCCCCGCAGGCCUCCGGGAAUAUCAGGAAGCGCUUUCAAAAACAAACCCACCUCCUCUUAGGGCUGGCCCCGUGGCCGAGUGGUUAAGUCCGCGCGCUCCGCUGCAGGCGGCCCAAUGUUUCGUUGGUUCGAAUCCUGGGCGCGGACAUGGCACUGCUCAUCAAACCACGCUGAGGCAGCGUCCCACAUGCCACAACUAGAAGGACCCACAACGAAGAAUGUACAACUAUGUACUGGGGGGCUUUGGGAGAAAAAGGAAAAAAAAAUAAAAUCUUUAAAAAAAAAAAAAAACCCACCUCCUCUUUCUGAAAUGGUGGAGAUGACUUGGCAAAAAGGGCCCAUAUGGCAAGAUGCAGAAAACAGAACUUGAGAUGGAAGAUGCAGGGUCAGGAGACGAGCAGAUGAAGCCAAGCGGGUUACUCUGGUUCAGCGGGCACGAGCUUGGGCAGCUGGUGGCCACAUCUCCGUGGCUCUGUGGCUCCCAGGUGCCGUCUCCCCCCUCGGACGGGGUGGGAGGGUCACAUGUUUCUGGGGAACGGUUUCUCUUUCCAAAACUGCUGACUAAUAAGGGGCAUUCAAAAGAAGAAGUUUGUUUCUUAAAACAAAUAUUCAAUUCAACUGACUUUAGUGAGCACCUGCGCCAGGCCUUGGACUUUGCCCCAGGGAAUCAGAGUGAGCAAAACAUAGCCCCUGCCCUUGAGGGGCCCCUGGGCAAGACACAUGUUAGUAGCCAGCACUGGACAGCAGCGCCUCGUGAUGGGUCUAAGGGACAGGGACACUCAGGGGAAGAGGAGUUCAAGCCGUGCGGUGGGAGUGCUAGUGGGCAGUGCAGACAAGGGAAAAGGGCACGAGGACGUAGAGGGUGAGUUCCACAGGCACGGUCCUGCUAGAGGGUGCAGGGCAAGGAGGAAGCAGGAGGUAGGACGUGGAUCUGGAGGGGCUAUGGGGCCAGAGCACCCACAGCAUGAGGGCUUUACCAUGAGGCACUAGGGAGCCACUCAGAGCGUAUAAAGCAGGGUGGCGGAUCAGAUUUGAAUUUCAGGACUAUUGCGCCAAGGAGCAGGGUCGGCCUGGACCGAGGGGCUGGGCAGGAGGUGCUUCACUCAUCCUACCCCUCUCCCACUAGACUUCCAGCCCUCCAAAAGGAGAACAGUGCCUUUCCUGUUUCCUCAACACCAGGUCGUGCCCGAUCACAGGGCAGGUGAUGGAUAAAAGUUUACUGAAUGCAUACAUGAGGGGAUGCAUGAAAUAUACAUUUAGACCAACAUUUUCCAAAAUAUGUUCCCAAACCAAAAGACUAAUAGCUGAUAAAUUUCUCAAAGGAGAGAUAAACGUGCCAGUUCUUUACUUACUGCUGGUCUGGGCCAGGUCCUUGCAUGCACGAUUUUGUCCAGUUUAAUGCUUACAGCAACCUUCCAUCCCCACUCAGUAAACAAAUAGCAAAAACGGAAGCUCAGAGAGUUUACUGUCUGGUCAGAGACAUUAAAUGUCAUGGUGGAGACAAAAUUUGAAAUCAGAUAUUAUUAUAUCAAGUCCCAUGCUCUUUCUACCAUACAGCACACACCUGCAAGUAAAUAAGCACAUAUUCAGGCAUUCAGGAAAAGCAUAUUCUGCAUCUUCAGGGUGUGUGUGUGAACAUGUGUGUUUGCCAGCCAUCGUUGGAGAUUUUCCGUUGAACCGUUGUAUAAAUGGGGGUGGUUUGCUCAGGAGCAGCCCUGCCAGAGUCACAGGAAAUCCCGCCUGAGGUGUCAGCAGAGAAGACACCAAACAUACAUCCAGAGAAGCCCGGACCAGUUUGGUUUGCUAAGACAGAGGCUGCUCGGCCAAGGGGAGAACACAUGCUCCAGCUGUUGUCUGCAACUGGUUUUCAGCUGGAAUGUUGUUAAAUGAAAUGAUCUGCCCUCUAAACAUGUGUGUUUUCAAUUAAUCUCCUUUCCAAGCAGAACAUGUCAUCUCCAAGGGAUGAUAAAUCACAGGGAAAUCCAAAGAGAGGUGUUGCUGUGGCCCCUCUCUGCCACUCUCAGGGGCUGUCACGCAGGGAGGCUGGACUCUGACGGUGCCCCCUGGUUGGGUCAGUGCUGUGGUGACAGGACAAUGGCCAGAGCUGCCCUCUGUGGCAGGUAACAAGCCUCCUGCUCAUAGGGAGACAAAGUUCCUGGGAGCUUGAGGACAGGUGUGCAGCCUUGCUUGCUGUCUACCCUGGUUCUCAGAGCACUUUCCAAAGAGCUUCCAUGGUGACGUCAUCAGGUCCCAAGUGGGGAAACGGAGGUAAGCUGUAACCCAGCACCUGGCCCGAGAGCAGCCUCUGGCUCUUGAGGUUAUGGCUAAUCCUCCCCACAGCCUGGACACUGCUGUGCCGCUCCGUCUUACGCAGGAGGAGACCAGCGCGGCAGGACCUGGUUACCUGCCCAAGGUCAUACAAGCUGAAAGUGGCCAAGCCAAGAUUUGAACCAGGUUUAUCUGGGUCCAAAGCCAUUGCUUCUGGGAGCCGAGUGAGAGAGCCGGGUCUGUGAUGCUGUGAUGAGGAAACUGAGGCUCCGAGGCUCCUGACAUGCUGAACUCACCCAGCUGGAAAGUGGAAAGUGACAGAGCAGGGAUGUGCUCUUCCCACCUGACUGCACUGACGGACCAGAGUGGGGCUGCUGGGAGUCGAAACUGCCAAGUGUGGCUUGUCAGGGCCCUUGUCUGCAGCAUGCCCAAAACUGAAAAAUAAAUUGACUCAAGGGAGGGCGUUAGCCGGAUGGCGGGCCUGUGGGAGCUCGGUAUUUUUAGUCAUUUUGUCAUACAGACCAGGAUGGAAAGAUGAGAAACCACAGGGGCUGGCACACGCCUCGGGAUGAACUCAUGAGCCCAAAAUAGGUGGAGCCGAAGCCCUCAGAUGCUGGUCGUGGGGCGUCUGUGCUGACAAGCCACAGAAGUGCUAGGUUCUUUUUUGUGUUUUUCUGGGGCCCCAGACCUCUUUUAGAAGGUUGUAAUCAAAGGAUAUUUGAGCUAGAAAGAACCUUGAAGAUUUCAGAGUCUACUCCCUCUCUUGUACUAACAGGGAAACUGAGGCUGAGAGAAGAGCAGUUUCACAAACAUGAGCAUCAGAGCCAGGCCCUGUCCAGGCCCCUCAGCCGCAUCCUUCCCCCACGCCCCUCUGCCUGCCCGCCAGCCCUUACCCUGGCUGCCUCGCCCAUCCCAGGUGAGGAUGAGGCCGAGGCCGAGUGUGGAGAGUGCAGCUGCCAUGCAGGGAGCUAGAAAGCCCCGGCUCCGAUUCAGCCCCUUCGCUUGUGAACUUAGUGACCGUGGCUCUGCUGCUUUACCUUUUCUAUGAUGCCCAUUUCUCAAAUCACGAUGUUAUGGCUUUUUGUGAGAUUAUGAGACAAUAUAUAAACGUGACUUCCUGCUCCACCAACUUGGGGGAAUUUCUGGAAGGAGGGAGGUAUGUGAGGUGGUGUAGGAGACCCGUUGGUACCCUCCCACCAGCCAGUCCCUCCUUCCUCCCUCCUGGCAGAACCAGAUCGUGUCUGGGAGCUUCUCUCAUGGCAGGUGCCUCAAAGUGGUGGUCAGCCCCCAGGACAGGAGCAUCAGGAUGAUUGUAGUGACCUCAUUCUCCCGGCCAGGAACUGUUCAGUGUGUGCUUGCAAAACGGUUCUGACGAAUAAAAGAUGAAAGGACAUCUGCUGGAGGCUUCCAGGGAAGGUUCCUCCCUGAUUAAAAGGAUAAAAAAUCACAUGGGAAGAAACAGUCUCUGGAAAUUGUCAUGAAAAUGUGACAACUGGGUCUAUUACAGCUUCACCAUGAGGGGGUCAACCUGAGGACAGAGGAGAGCAGAGCAGAAAGAUGAAAAGAACCUGGGUCCUCGACAAGGGCCUUGCCUCUGACUGCUUGCUACAUGAGAUCACAAAUUCCUCGUCAUUUAAGCCAUUUACCUCAGAGGCUUUUGAUAUUUGAAGCCCAGAUCAUUCUAUCUGCUCCAGAUGAGUCCGGACAGAAGUACAUAGUAAUUUUACUUUUAAUGCCAAGGCUGACUCAGGACUUGACUCUCCUUGAGGCCCUUUCAAAAGACAGUGCAACCUCAUUAAUCCAGCAAAAUCUCCCUCUUUUAUGUGAACUUCCUGACGCAGCCUUUUAGCCCCUUGCUCCCGAGGGCUGCGUGUCGUGUUCAAGGCAUAUCACACUUAGAUCACAGGGUCAGCCAGGACAAUGAUGCCAGAAGACAUGGUGAGUGAUGUUUGCAUCAGUGGGUGUUAACCUGGUGGUGCUGGGCACCAAGCCCCACCCCAGCAAAUCACGAGGUUGGGGAGCUCGGUCUUCUGGGUCCAUCCCCUGGUCUGACAGUCCUCUUCCCACCUUGUGGUUCCAGCAUCCUCCUCGUGUUCUCUCACCAUUCCUCAACCGGGACCUGCCCUUGGAGGGUGGGCAGGAUCAAAUUUCCAGUGAGCAGGAGCUCAGGGGCUCAGUUCUGGCUCAGGUGCGAAUUCCCUGGAGAGGAGCCACGUCCCCAGUCUGAGCCUCGGUUUCCUCACCUAAUCAAUGAUGAGGUGGGGUUAUAGCAAGCCCUACUUCAACCAGAACAGCUCUGCUGUUGUUUGUUUAUGUGUCUGGGUUAGGUCUUAUUUCUGCCCCAAAAGUUUUAAAACCACUGGAUAAGAUUACCUUUAAGGGUCUUUCCAGAUCUAAGGUCCUUUCCUACCCGCCAUGGGUGACUGGGAACUAUCUAAAGCAAGGUUUGCGACACAGAUAUCCACAGGGCAGGGCAGGUGACGCGAACAAGAGAAGAGGGCCCAGGGGGAGGCAGCAGGGAACGGUGAGAACUAGAGUGAACACAUGCAUCUGAGCAGACCCACUGUAUUUAGUUGUUGCUUUGAGGGAAUUCAGGAUCGGGGUUCCCAGAGUUGAUCAUUUUUCAAGAGAAGCCAGAAAUCUGGAUUUCUACGGGAAAUAUUUGGAUACAAGCCAAAUAAAGCAAAUGUAGCUUGUGGGCUACCAAUUUGCAAUCCCCCAUCUGUAGAGUGACUCCCAUACAGAAGGACUGUUGAGUCGAGGGAAGGAAUAAAAGUAUAAUUAGAGUGACUGUUUAUUCAGUGUCUCUUGAGUGCCAAGCCCUGAGCCACGAGCUUCGUGGACAUCAUCUUGUUCAUUCCUUGCCACGACCCUAUGGCCUCUGUCUGAGUCCUUUGCCAGAGUCUGUGUCCCACCCUGUCCCGUCCCUCGCAGGUCAGCUUUGGCCUGCGAAGCCCUGCAGUUUUUCUGUCCCUCCCAGGGGCAGCCAGCCCUGAGCAUGCCCCUCAAACUGCCUCCCUGCUCUCUUCCCCUUCCAGUUGAAGGACAGAGUUUAAUUUGGGAGCAGGCUGGAGAGGGGGCCCGUGAAGACGUGGCCGAGGUCGAGGGGAGGCAGUGGUGGGAGGAAGGGGAAGAGUGGUGACCAGACUGUCAAUUCCAGCAUUGUCAAAUGUGGAGUCCCAGCUGGCCCUGACUCCAUUCUUUGCCCUAAAGGCCCAGGUGAGUAGGUGGGAAACCAGGAAGGGAGAAAAAUCAAGUUACUGAGCAACUCCUGUGCCCCAAACCCUGUCCUUUAUGUAUGUUGCUUCAUUUAAUCCUCACAACAACUGAAUGAGGGUAAUAUCCCCAUUUUACAGACGAGGAGACUGAGGCUGAGAGGGUGGAAAGCAUCAAAUCCAGGCCAGAAGUCUGGCCAGUUUAGCUCCAAAGCCUGUGCUGCCCUUCCAGAUCGCGUCAAGCUCAGGCGGGGUAGUUAACUGGACUAGUUACAGCUCCCACGCAAGAGGGGUUUUACUGCACUUGUCCCUUUAGAAAAAAUAUCCAUGGUCCCGGAUAUCCAUAUGCCUGCCCCGCUAGGAAGAGCGAGGCUGCGGCUGCAGCUCAGAGCCCCCCACUUUCCUGGACAGGUGGGGACGUGCUUCUUCCCACUGUUCUUGGCUAGGAGUGGCCCCAGCCCAUGCCUGCUGUGUCGCCUCUGCUCCUGUCAUUCCUAGCUGGUCCCCACGAUCAAGUGGGGAACAGCUGGUGGCUGGAAUAGCAGUACGUGUGCUCAAGUUUGUCUGUGUAACUCUGGGUGCAUGUGUCUGUCUGUCUGCCUGUAGCUAAAACCAGACUGUUGGGGGAGGUGGGUGUAUGUGUAUUUACGUCACUAAGUCUCAAGUGGGAGUAAGUGUGUGUGUAUGUGUGUGUGUGUAACCUAAGUUUGUUUGUAUCCAUGUUUCUGUCUAUCUGUCUGUGAGGGAGUGAGGCUAUUCAGCUGAGGCCCCCGUAGCUGGAGCAGCUGGCUCCUUUGAACCAGCGUGAGGAGGUUGGCAGCCCCACCAGAUGCCUGGUAGGAAUCUGCCAGGAUUAGCUGUGAAGCUGCCCUGCUUUCCUCCCAGAUGGGUCUGGACAGGUCUGGAUGAAUCACAAAUUCUGAAUCCCCUGUGGGCCCAUUUUCCUUCGUAAAACUCUCCGUCUGCUGGAAUGAGCAAAGUAAAAGCAGAUUGAGCCUGCGUUUGUAGGAGCCUCCUGAAAUAAAAUGUCCUGAUGUCGCCUCAGAGCCCACUGUGUUCUUGGGGUGUCAGGGCCACCGGAGUUCAACCCCGCUCUUCCUGGCAGGUGGCCGAGGUCUGAGCAUCUCCUCCGUAACACUCUUCUGUCCUGUGGUCCCCAGCCGGGAAAGACUCCACUAAACAGGUGCUAAAAGGGCACGGACACCACAGGGCACACACAACCAUUCUGUCCUCCUGUCUCUCUCUUCCACUCGUCAUUUGCUAAGGGACCCUGGAACUGGUGCCUCCCCGACUCUCACCUUCACGUGUAAAGACCCGUAAGCUCUAUGUGUGACAGGGGCCCAGAGGUCCGACUUCUCAGGAGAUUUAGAGUCCUCCUCUCCCUCCAGGGAACUCGCAUACCCUCUUGUCAGGCCUAGGAAGGUGUCGUGGAAUGUGGAAGGGGUCUAGUCUUGGAGUUGGGGCCUUCACCUCAAGCCCUGCCUCUAUCCCUCACCAGGUGGGGGUCCCUGAGCCCUCAUUCCUCAUUCGUGAGCAGAGGGCAGUGAAGAACAUGACGGCCACUAGAGCAGUGUGGGCUCUCUGAGCCAGCACUUCACGCGCCAUCACCUUUGCACCAUCACAGCAACUGCCGGCACGAUGAAACAAAGGGAAAGAAACAGCCCGUUAUCUCAGCUUACCGCCUCCUUCCUUCAGGCCGUGAGUCUCUGGCAGGCCGCAGGAGGAAUGUCAACCUGAUUUUCUUCAGCAGCCUUCCCUCCCAGGGAACCGCACCGCAUCGUUCCUUGGGAGGAAGGAGGCGGCCCAGGGUGGGGGCGGGCCCAGAGCUCGGCUCCGGGUAGUGUCCAUCGUGCAAGGAAGGCCUCAUGAACAGCGGCUUCCCGCUUUGGGAUGCAGGUGGAGGAAGAACUGGCUGCUUUUUCCCCUUGUUGUUUAGAACAUUUAUAAAACCUGUACGGACAGAGGCGAAGUAACUCCCCUACCUCAGGGUGGCUGCGGGUGGCUCAGGGUGGGGCCAGGAAAGUCUGGACUGAACCUCUAGUCUCCCUGUGGGGGCAACGCCCUAGGGACAGGCCCUGGAAGGAAAUUCCAUUCAGCAGGUGGAACAUGAUGGCUGAAGGCGCCUCGAGGACUCCAGGUGCCGAGAGCGACUGGUUAGGAGUGCUGGCCCCACUCUCUCAAGAGUCUGAGAUCUCAGACAACGGACUUAAUCUCCCGGACUCUCAGCUUCUUGAUUCAUAAAUGGGGAUAGAAUAUCACUCUUAAAACUUUGCUGGUGAAUAAUAAAGGAGAUCAUAUGUGUACAGCAUUGAGCAGUCUAGCACACAGCAGACACUCUUUAAAUGGUAUUUUAGUCAUAUGAAGAAUAUGCACUAUGAGGCAAAAUGUAGGGAGAGAGCCUCACUGGGGUUUUGUCAUUGACUUGCCACUUUAGGGGAAAGGGGACCUUCUGAGAGGAGGAGAUGAGGGCAGCCCACCUUUUGGAGGAGCCGAGGCAUAAGCUGAGAUCUGAAGGCUCAGUAAGGGCCGGAGCUGGACCCCGGGCUGAAAGAAGACCAUGCACAAGGGCAUGGAGACCCACGAGCUGGGUGCUGGAACGGUACUGCAGCGGCCUGCUGUGGCUGCGGGCAUGGGGUGAGAGGCACGGCUGUAGAAGGGGGGCCGGAGCAGGCAGCCGGCAACCACUUUCACAAACAGUUCUGAGGAAGAUUCAUUUGGGGCUGCAGUCAAAGUGGCGGCCUCUUGGAGAAAGAAGCUUCUGGCACCUUCUAGGAUUGUUUGAGCAAGAUUCCAGACUCCAUAUCCUCUUGGUUGGCUUUUGAAAUAUCUUACUGUGACAGGGAGUGUGUGAAGGGCUGAGAAGAGAGGAAUCAGAAGCUGAGAACUCCUUCCAAGAAGAUGUGUUUUCCCAACUGACUCCUUGCUGCUGUAAGUGAAAAUUGCUGAGAGAGCUUGUUCUUGGGUGUGCUCGUAACAGCUCCCCCAGGGUCCUGGCUGUGAAGCCUGAUGAGCUCCUUCUUCACAGCUGUCCAGGAAACCCAGGGCUGUGUGGCUCCCUGAGGCCAGCCCUGUGACCGCUCGGCUGUGGAGGAGGGCUGGGAGACAGAGGAGAAGGCAACACACUUACAAAGGUGUGAUUUCUCUUUGUUCAUCUCUGCCUGUGUUUAUACUCAGGCUCACUGAGGGAAUAAAUCAUGAGUGACGUCAGCAACCCGGGGAGUUUGACUCCUGAGUCAUCCUCGAGGGAAGAGGGCAUCUGGUUAAUUGAAUUCUAUGACUCCAAUUGAGUUACCACAGUGACAAAGGAUGGAUGUGCCAGAGCUGAGAGCAUUAAGACAUUGAAAGAGUGCACUUAACACUCGCACUCCACAAUGGGGAUUAGGUCUUUCUUCUAGGACUCAAGGAAACCCACUAGCUGGCAAGGCCUGAGUCAUUAUAACCGGCAUCAGGUUUCACUGCCCAGGAUUCUAGACAGAAAAGGUACUGGAGUUUUAACUAAAUCAACAGCUUCAUGCAUGUCUUGGCUCAAAACCCUUCAUUG